CCUACGGUGUGCAGCAGUGAGGAAUAUUGGUCAAUGGGCGCAAGCCUGAACCAGCCAAGUAGCGUGAAGGAUGACUGCCCUACGGGUUGUAAACUUCUUUUAUAAAGGAAUAAAGUGAGGCACGUGUGCCUUUUUGUAUGUACUUUAUGCAUAAGGCUCGGCUAACUCCGUACCAGCAGCCGCGGUAAUACGGAGGAUCCGAGCGUUUUCCGGAUUUAUUGGGUUUAAAGGGAGCGUAGAUGGGUUUUUAAGUCAGUUGUGAAAGUUUGCGGCUCAACCGUAAAAUUGCAAUUGAUACUGGCAUCCUUGAGUACAGUUGAGGUAGGCGGAAUUCGUGGUGUAGCGGUGAAAUGCUGAGAUAUCACGAAGAACUCCGAUUGCGAAGGCAGCCUACUAAACUGCCACUGACAUUGAUGCUCGAAAGUGUGGGUAUCAAACAGGAUUAGAUACCCUAGUAGUC
This 460-nucleotide ribosomal RNA is filed under the name uncultured bacterium. RNAcentral describes it as "partial 16S ribosomal RNA". It matches the Rfam family "Bacterial small subunit ribosomal RNA", at positions 338 to 795 of the family's 1533-position model. The record is from RNAcentral.